UGGGGAAUAUUGGACAAUGGGCGCAAGCCUGAUCCAGCCAUGCCGCGUGUGUGAAGAAGGCCUUUUGGUUGUAAAGCACUUUAAGCGAGGAGGAGGCUACUUGGAUUAAUACUCUAGGAUAGUGGACGUUACUCGCAGAAUAAGCACCGGCUAACUCUGUGCCAGCAGCCGCGGUAAUACAGAGGGUGCGAGCGUUAAUCGGAUUUACUGGGCGUAAAGCGUGCGUAGGCGGCUUCUUAAGUCGGAUGUGAAAUCCCUGAGCUUAACUUAGGAAUUGCGUUCGAUACUGGGAAGCUAGAGUAUGGGAGAGGAUGGUAGAAUUCCAUGUGGAGCGGUGAAAUGCGUAGAGAUCUGGAGGAAUACCGAUGGAGAAGGCAGCCAUCUGGCCUAAUACUGACGCUGAGGUACGAAAGCAUGGGGAGCAAACAGG
Molecule: ribosomal RNA, 430 nt
Filed under: Acidobacteriota bacterium
Lineage: Bacteria; Pseudomonadati; Acidobacteriota
Description: Acidobacteria bacterium partial 16S ribosomal RNA
Rfam family: Bacterial small subunit ribosomal RNA
Source: RNAcentral